RNAcentral lists this ribosomal RNA (1346 nucleotides) under uncultured bacterium. RNAcentral's name for it is "partial 16S ribosomal RNA". It matches the Rfam family "Bacterial small subunit ribosomal RNA", at positions 28 to 1381 of the family's 1533-position model. The record is from RNAcentral.
GACGAACGCUGUUUGCGUGCUUAACACAUGCAAGUCGAACGGAAAGGCCCUGCUUUUGUGGGGUGCUCGAGUGGCGAACGGGUGAGUAACACGUGAGUAACCUGCCCUUGACUUUGGGAUAACUUCAGGAAACUGGGGCUAAUACCGGAUAGGAGCUCCUGCUGCAUGGUGGGGGUUGGAAAGUUUCGGCGGUUGGGGAUGGACUCGCGGCUUAUCAGCUUGUUGGUGGGGUAGUGGCUUACCAAGGCUUUGACGGGUAGCCGGCCUGAGAGGGUGACCGGCCACAUUGGGACUGAGAUACGGCCCAGACUCCUACGGGAGGCAGCAGUGGGGAAUAUUGCACAAUGGGCGGAAGCCUGAUGCAGCAACGCCGCGUGCGGGAUGACGGCCUUCGGGUUGUAAACCGCUUUCGCCUGUGACGAAGCGUGAGUGACGGUAAUGGGUAAAGAAGCACCGGCUAACUACGUGCCAGCAGCCGCGGUGAUACGUAGGGUGCGAGCGUUGUCCGGAUUUAUUGGGCGUAAAGGGCUCGUAGGUGGUUGAUCGCGUCGGAAGUGUAAUCUUGGGGCUUAACCCUGAGCGUGCUUUCGAUACGGGUUGACUUGAGGAAGGUAGGGGAGAAUGGAAUUCCUGGUGGAGCGGUGGAAUGCGCAGAUAUCAGGAGGAACACCAGUGGCGAAGGCGGUUCUCUGGGCCUUUCCUGACGCUGAGGAGCGAAAGCGUGGGGAGCGAACAGGCUUAGAUACCCUGGUAGUCCACGCUGUAAACGGUGGGUACUAGGUGUGGGGUCCAUUCCACGGGUUCCGUGCCGUAGCUAACGCUUUAAGUACCCCGCCUGGGGAGUACGGCCGCAAGGCUAAAACUCAAAGGAAUUGACGGGGCCCCGCACAAGCGGCGGAGCAUGCGGAUUAAUUCGAUGCAACGCGUAGAACCUUACCUGGGUUUGACAUGGAUCGGGAGUGCUCAGAGAUGGGUGUGCCUCUUUUGGGGUCGGUUCACAGGUGGUGCAUGCCUGUCGUCAGCUCGUGUCGUGAGAUGUUGGGUUAAGUCCCGCAACGAGCGCAACCCUUGUUCACUGUUGCCAGCACGUUAUGGUGGGGACUCAGUGGAGACCGCCGGGGUCAACUCGGAGGAAGGUGGGGAUGACGUCAAGUCAUCAUGCCCCUUAUGUCCAGGGCUUCACGCAUGCUACAAUGGCUGGUACAGAGAGUGGCGAGCCUGUGAGGGUGAGCGAAUCUCGGAAAGCCGGUCUCAGUUCGGAUUGGGGUCUGCAACUCGACCUCAUGAAGUCGGAGUCGCUAGUAAUCGCAGAUCAGCAACGCUGCGGUGAAUACGUUCCCGGGGCU